This 68-nucleotide transfer RNA is filed under the name Ictidomys tridecemlineatus (thirteen-lined ground squirrel). RNAcentral's name for it is "Spermophilus tridecemlineatus (thirteen-lined ground squirrel) tRNA". It matches the Rfam family "tRNA". From Rfam's summary of the family: Transfer RNA (tRNA) molecules are approximately 80 nucleotides in length. Their secondary structure includes four short double-helical elements and three loops (D, anti-codon, and T loops). The record is from Rfam by way of RNAcentral. Lineage: Eukaryota; Metazoa; Chordata; Mammalia; Rodentia; Sciuridae.
GGGGAUGUAGCUCAGUGGUAGAGUGCUUGCCUCGCAUGCGUGGGGCCUGGGUUCAGUCCCCAGCACCA